GUGAGUUCCCAGGUUCAUCGUGCCGUUUCCGUUCGCAAAAUUAAGGGAAGAUGUUCAGACAUCGUCGCCUGGCCGUUCAUACACAAAACAACUCGCGCUGUGUGUGCUGCCCCACUUCCUGCCACUUCACUAAUGGCCGGCCGCCCAUUACCCAUUUGUUGCCUGUCAGCUCCAAACCUCCCCGUCCUUCCCUCGCUGUGUGAGGACAAGGCUGAACUCCGUGUCAUUUGCCAGCUGGCCAGUGCCCUUCAGCCCAGAUCUCUAUGCCAAGCAGUCUGAAAUCUUUCUGAGCAACCACUACACCACCUCCGAGGUCAGGGUCUUUGGUGCCCCGGAGGUUCUGGAGAACUUGGAGGCAUUGUGAAGACCCAGUUUCCCUAGCUGUGCAGCUGCAAGGUCACUAGACAGAUAAACUCAAGUUGCAAAACACGUUUUCCUAGAAAACCCCAGGCCUCCAUUCUGCUUGCUGCAGCCGCUGGAACCACAGAUGCUCCCUGGCAGGGCCACCAUACCCUCCAGCACCAGCUCCUCACCUCAUGCCUCUCAGGCAGAUUUGGAUCAUCUGCCUGGCCAGGUAGGCCUGCAAGCCUAUGGCCCCUGGGAAAGAUAUAAUAAAUGCCGUUGGCUUUUGAUUUGC
This 637-nucleotide long non-coding RNA is filed under the name Pan troglodytes (chimpanzee). Its description in RNAcentral is "lincRNA". The record is from RNAcentral. Lineage: Eukaryota; Metazoa; Chordata; Mammalia; Primates; Hominidae.